Molecule: ribosomal RNA, 279 nt
Filed under: uncultured bacterium
Lineage: Bacteria
Description: partial 16S ribosomal RNA
Rfam family: Bacterial small subunit ribosomal RNA
Source: RNAcentral
UGCCAGCAGCCGCGGUAAUACGGAGGGUGCAAGCGUUAUCCGGAUUUAUUGGGUUUAAAGGGUGCGUAGGCGGAAUAAUAAGUCAGUGGUGAAAUCCUGCGGCUCAACCGUAGAACUGCCAUUGAUACUGUUAUUCUUGAAUAUAGUUGAGGUAGGCGGAAUGUGUAAUGUAGCGGUGAAAUGCUUAGAUAUGACAUGGAACACCAAUUGCGAAGGCAGCUCACAAAACCAGUAUUGACGCUCAGGCACGAAAGCGUGGGGAGCAAACAGGAUUAGAUA